RNAcentral lists this transfer RNA (71 nucleotides) under Caudoviricetes sp. RNAcentral's name for it is "tRNA-OTHER". The record is from RNAcentral. Lineage: Duplodnaviria; Heunggongvirae; Uroviricota; Caudoviricetes.
UGGCGUAGUCGUCUAAGUGGUUAAGACCCCGUAGCUAGGGAAAUGCAGGUUCGAGUCCUGCCGCGCCACAA